This 377-nucleotide unclassified non-coding RNA is filed under the name uncultured Gammaproteobacteria bacterium. RNAcentral describes it as "contains 16S-23S intergenic spacer region". Lineage: Bacteria; Pseudomonadati; Pseudomonadota; Gammaproteobacteria. The record is from RNAcentral.
UCCGGUUUGUCACCGGCAGUCCCAUUAGAGUGCCCAACUGAAUGUAGCAACUAAUGGCAAGGGUUGCGCUCGUUGCGGGACUUAACCCAACAUCUCACGACACGAGCUGACGACAGCCAUGCAGCACCUGUGUUGCGGUUCCCUUUCGGGCACCCUCACAUCUCCGCGAGGUUCGCUACAAGUCAAGGGUAGGUAAGGUUUUUCGCGUUGCAUCGAAUUAAACCACAUGCUCCACCGCUUGUGCGGGCCCCCGUCAAUUCCUUUGAGUUUCAGCCUUGCGGCCGUACUCCCCAGGCGGAGUGCUUAACGCGUUAGCUACGACACCGAAAGGCAGACCCCUCCGACAUCUAGUCGUCAUCGUUUAGGGCGUGGACUAC